RNAcentral lists this ribosomal RNA (274 nucleotides) under uncultured bacterium. RNAcentral's name for it is "partial 16S ribosomal RNA". It matches the Rfam family "Bacterial small subunit ribosomal RNA", at positions 523 to 796 of the family's 1533-position model. The record is from RNAcentral.
AUACGGAGGGUCCGAGCGUUAUCCGGAAUCAUUGGGUUUAAAGGGUCCGUAGGCGGGAAUCUAAGUCAGUGGUGAAAUCUUGCAGCUCAACUGUAAAAUUGCCAUUGAUACUGGAUUUCUUGAAUUAGUGUGAAGUGAUUAGAAUGCGUAGUGUAGCGGUGAAAUGCAUAGAUAUUACACAGAAUACCAAUUGCGAAGGCAGAUCACUAACACUAUAUUGACGCUGAGGGACGAAAGCGUGGGGAGCGAACAGGAUUAGAUACCCGAGUAGUCC